GUCGUUAUUCAUUAUUUCUGUGUGCAAGAAACUGACGGGGUUACGAAAUAAUACAAAUACAGUCCUUUCUAGAAAAUCCAGUUUCUUCACAUUUGGUCCUUCUGAGCCGGCCGACUGACGCCCUGGACAUCGCUGGAACCCCUGGGGGGGGUUGCCUGAAAACCGCAUGCGGUCUGAGAUCACAGCCUCAGCAUUGACACAUCCGCCUUCAGGAUCAGCGGCCCUCGCCCCGGAUCCAGUUUUGCCCUCGGCCACGUCGGACCCUCAUCAAAUAACGAGGUUCAUUUCUUGAAACUCUGCAUCCCGACCAGAAGGCCCCUGUUGGUGACCUGCUUUACUCGAAGGCCAUUCAACGGACUGAUUGGUCACAACGGUAGUGGACAGGACCCUUCAAGGUUCUCCUCCUCAUGCCAACUGCAGUACACAUUGCUGACUGACCCUCCUGGAUUCACGUAAGCCACUGUAAAUUGCUGAGAGCCUAUGAGACUGACAUUUUGAGACACACCCCUGGUUGAAGUCCAACUACGGAGCCGCCGCAGUGUGACACUACUCCUGGUGAGGGGAACUCCCUGGUGUGUUUCCUCUAGCGCUCCUCUCUUCCAGCUACAGUGAGCUUCGAACCAGCUAACAUGGGUCCAGCUGUUGCUCGUGGUUUCAUCUUCAACUUUUAUUCCCUCUUCCUCUGGAGAUCUCACUCACAUCAUCAGUGAGGUCAAGGCCCUUAAAUCACAAAUUUCUUCUCAGAUGACUGACGCCUACUGGUCUGGGUCCCCACUUUAUUGUUUUACUUCUGGUGGAGUGUACUGAUAAAACUAGUCACUCCGGUCCUCUGUGUGUUGUUUUUCUUUUUUUCUUUUCGUCACCUGUUUGAUUACAUGUAUCAAAUGAAUGAUCGCUGUCAGGCCAACUCUAUCAGCAUUAUGCCUACAAUUAACCUAAUUCGCAUCCGCUCGUGGUUGAAACUGGUCUUUACAGAUUUAUUUUAUUCUUUUUCUUUUGUUUGAUUUGAAUUUGUUUAUUUUCUUUAUUUCUUAAUUUGUUUCUUGUUCUAUGUAACUUUAAUUAAUGAUUUUGUGCCGAGGUUUGGACUGGUGAUGCAUGCGUAUCCUUAGUGAUGGCUGCUGAGGGGCACAGAGCCGUUGAUGAGUUUUGCCCUCCCUGACUGCUCACUGAAUGUUUCACACAGAUGGUAUAAGUUUAGCCCUGGAGGUUUUCGCAUCAACACUCAUGUAUCACCUACCACCUCUGAUAUACUCAUUUAUUCACGUUGAUUUUAAUGUUCUUGUGUAUUUACCUGUAUCUACACCUUUGUUUUCGAUGCAGAGCCGAUAUGAUGCCUAUACUGAAAUUCUUCAUGAAGUGGUAUAUGGUUGAUGAUGAGAAGAGUUCUGCUGACUUUCUGUGCACAAUUUUGAUAAUUUUGAUAUGAUAAACAGCGGGGUAUGUUAGGAAUGAUUAGAAACAGAAUAGUUAGACACUCCCUUUUGCAUUUUAUUAAACUAACUUUUACCUUUUAUUACAUUAAUGGCUUAACCUCGAUUUACUAUGUAUUAUCAUCUCAAAAUUAUAUUACACUCCAGACAGAGCACAACCAAGA
This is a long non-coding RNA of Oryzias latipes (Japanese medaka), 1597 nucleotides long. RefSeq lists it as uncharacterized. The record is from RefSeq and is a predicted model, not a curated record. Lineage: Eukaryota; Metazoa; Chordata; Actinopteri; Beloniformes; Adrianichthyidae.